AAGCCAGCCAGGAAGGAGGAGGCAGCCAGAGUGUUCUCUGCAGCAGAAGACCCCUUGCUGCACUGCUCAACCCAGACCAGCAUUUGCCAGGUUCUAUUGUUAUUGUAACCGCUGUCGAUUGACCAUCUUGCUCCCUAGUGAUCAGUUGAUGCUUCUUCAGUGGCACUAAUGUCUGGAAGAUGUUUUUCCUAGGAAAGUUGGAGAUUUUCCAGGCCUUUGUCCCAGCACCCCCACCCCCAAAAUCUGAAGACUGAAGAAGAAGAUUGAAGAAGAAAGAGUAGACUCAGAGACCAGACCACAGAAGUGGACAACUGGACACACCAUGUGGGUGAAGCCCUAGACUGAGUGGCAGCUUUUGUUUGCUGAAAUGGGCUCACAUUUUCUUCAAUGUCUCAAAAAGGCACCUGCAUAGAGAUACUGCAUGCAAGGAUUCAAUUGCAAGAAAACAUGGGUUCCUUAGCCAACAAAUCAAGCUGGAAAGUAUUCCCCCAGGACACGAAGACUGAAAAGCAACGGCUAUGAAGGUAUACCAGUCACUUUGCUUCUUUGCCUGUGCUUCAGAAAUCAGUAGUCAUCAGUACACCAAGGCUUCGGUCUUUAAACU
Molecule: long non-coding RNA, 604 nt
Organism: Hemicordylus capensis (graceful crag lizard)
Lineage: Eukaryota; Metazoa; Chordata; Lepidosauria; Squamata; Cordylidae
Exons: 6
Source: RefSeq, a predicted model, not a curated record